UAAACAACAAAAAAACCUUUCUUUUCUAAUUUCAUUUCCAGCCCCCAAUUUUAAAAAGAACAGAAAGUGCGGAGAUGGGCUUCUUAGCCUCGUUUUGAGGCACAUUCGAAGGCCAUGCCUUCUCAACCCUAAAGAAAUCGAAAGAAAGGUCCCCCCUCUCCCCGAUCCGACUUUGGCGAUUGGAGAAGAGAUCUCCAGCGAUGAGUCCGUGGGAAGAUCAAGGCGAUGGAACGGGAGCACGUGGUGGUGCUGCCAUGGCAGCUGGUGGCAGAGGGGAGGGGGUUGUAUGAUGGUUUCAUCACUAUCAUCUCGGAUAGGUUGCAUCACUUUUGCAAGUUCCUCCAUGAAGAAGACCAAGCCAAUUGGUUUAGCAAAUGUUAAGUAGUGGUUAAUAGCGUUCCGCAAUGAAAAAAAGAAGACCAAGCCAAUUGGUUUAGUAAAUGUGAAGUAGUGGUUAAUUGCAUAAGCAUUUUAACACACGACUUGCUUGUUUAUUAGACUCCAAAAUUUUUAUUUGUCUUCUUUUUUUUAAGUUAAUUGUAAGUCAGUAUUAAGAAAGUGUAAGUGACUGUCUUGGCAAUUUUGAGAAGAAUCCUCCUAAUGCUCUUGCACAUGUCCUCUCUCUCUCUCUAAGAAAAUCCUGGUUACCUCUCCCCCACAAUAUGGUUAAAUGUUAGUAAUUAUGUAACAUCGGGUUGAUUGAAUUAGUUUUUUUUUAAGGGGGUAUAUGAUGGUUUCAUCCUUAUCUUUUGCAGGUUCUUCCAUGAAAACAAGAAGACCAAGCCAAUUGGUUUAGUAAAUGUGAUGUAGUGGUUAAUUGUAUAAGCAUUUUAACACAAGUCUUACUUUUUUAUAAGACUCAAAAAUUGUUACUUGUCUCUUCUUUUUAAGCAAAUUGUAAGCUGUUAUUAUGAAAGUAUAAGUCACUCUCUUGGUAGAAGAA
Gossypium arboreum is the source of this 943-nucleotide long non-coding RNA. RefSeq lists it as uncharacterized. NCBI's taxonomy places the organism in Eukaryota, Viridiplantae, Streptophyta, Magnoliopsida, Malvales, Malvaceae. The record is from RefSeq and is a predicted model, not a curated record. The transcript has 4 exons.